This 23-nucleotide non-coding RNA is filed under the name Arabidopsis thaliana (thale cress). The record is from RNAcentral. Lineage: Eukaryota; Viridiplantae; Streptophyta; Magnoliopsida; Brassicales; Brassicaceae.
AGAGGUUGUUGGUUCGAGUGAUA